This 301-nucleotide ribosomal RNA is filed under the name uncultured bacterium. RNAcentral describes it as "partial 16S ribosomal RNA". It matches the Rfam family "Bacterial small subunit ribosomal RNA", at positions 509 to 807 of the family's 1533-position model. The record is from RNAcentral.
CAGCCGCCGCGGUAAUACGUAGGUGGCAAGCGUUGUCCGGAAUUAUUGGGCGUAAAGGGCUCGCAGGCGGUUUCUUAAGUCUGAUGUGAAAGCCCCCGGCUCAACCGGGGAGGGUCAUUGGAAACUGGGAAACUUGAGUGCAGAAGAGGAGAGUGGAAUUCCACGUGUAGCGGUGAAAUGUGUAGAGAUGUGGAGGAACACCAGUGGCGAAGGCGACUCUCUGGUCUGUAUCUGACGCUGAGGAGCGAAAGCGUGGGGAGCGAACAGGAUUAGAUACCCCAGUAGUCCCUGUCUCUUAUAC